UUAUAAAACUUGCCCUAGAAUGGCGAAUUCGCGGACGGCUCAUUACAACAGAGAUAAUUUGCUUGAUUUAGAUUCCCAAGUGGAUAACUUUGGUAAUUCUGGAGCUAAUACAUGCCUCGAUGCCCUGACCGUGAGGAAAGGGUGCAGUUAUUAGAUCAAAACCAAACGGGCUCGCCCGUGUUUUGUUGACUCUGAAUCACCAUUCCGAUCGCAUGGUCUCGUACCGGCGACGUAUCAUUUCAAGACUCUGCCCUAUCAACUUCCGAUGCGAGGUCAUGUGCCUCCCAUGGUUGUGACGGGUAACGGAGAAUAAGGGUUCGACUCCGGAGAGGGAGCCUGAGAAACGGCUACCACAUCCAAGGAAGGCAGCAGGCGCGCAAAUUACCCACUCUCAGCACGAGGAGGUAGUGAAUAGAAAUAACAAAGUAGAUGUCUUUGAUGUCUACUAUUGCGAAUGGGUACAAUUUAAA
Molecule: ribosomal RNA, 470 nt
Filed under: unidentified nematode Sourhope farm
Lineage: Eukaryota; Metazoa; Nematoda
Description: SSU rRNA
Rfam family: Eukaryotic small subunit ribosomal RNA
Source: RNAcentral